UACGUAGGGUGCAAGCGUUAUUCGGAAUUAUUGGGCGUAAAGGGCGCGUAGGCGGCUAGGUAAGUCAAAGGUGAAAUCCCUCGGCUCAACUGAGGAACUGCCUUUGAAACUGUCUAGCUCGAGGCCGGGAGGGGGUGGCGGAAUUCCCAGUGUAGCGGUGAAAUGCGUAGAUAUUGGGAGGAACACCAGUGGCGAAGGCAGCUCUCUGGGACGGUACUGACACUGAGACGCGAAAGCGUGGGGAGCGAACAGG
This 253-nucleotide ribosomal RNA is filed under the name uncultured bacterium. RNAcentral's name for it is "partial 16S ribosomal RNA". It matches the Rfam family "Bacterial small subunit ribosomal RNA", at positions 524 to 776 of the family's 1533-position model. The record is from RNAcentral.